AUGGAAGUUUGCCAUGUAGAACAACCGAGGAUUAGUCAUGCAUGUAUCAUCUUCUCAAAGAGGAGCCGUGAUGGUAACAGCUCCCCCCAGUCCCAAGCCCUGGAUUCUACCCUGCAUGGUCCUGACGGCUUGUUCCAUCCACACCAAUAUUUUAAAAGAAAAGGCAGUGGGCUCCCAGACAAAGUUAAAAAGGGCACCACAUUUGACUGCACAUCCCAGAGCAGGUUGGCUUAACCAAGGCCUUCCAACCAGGAGGACUGACAGCAAGCAAAAGCCUCCCCGAGGACACGCACAGAGAUGGUGCAGUGGCUGCUCCGGAAAGAUUUCUGUUGACAUUGUUUUGAUCAUGUUUUCAGAUUCUGAAACACUGGCGGCGUUUGUU
Molecule: long non-coding RNA, 382 nt
Filed under: Oryctolagus cuniculus (rabbit)
Lineage: Eukaryota; Metazoa; Chordata; Mammalia; Lagomorpha; Leporidae
Description: lncRNA (ENSOCUG00000033610.1)
Source: RNAcentral